UCACGUUUAGCUUAACUGGAAGAGUUGCCUGUCUGCAGCGGGAAACAAAGGUUCGAUUCCUUUAACGUGAG
RNAcentral lists this transfer RNA (71 nucleotides) under Prevotella sp. RNAcentral describes it as "tRNA-Ala". It matches the Rfam family "tRNA". From Rfam's summary of the family: Transfer RNA (tRNA) molecules are approximately 80 nucleotides in length. Their secondary structure includes four short double-helical elements and three loops (D, anti-codon, and T loops). Further hydrogen bonds mediate the characteristic L-shaped molecular structure. tRNAs have two regions of fundamental functional importance: the anti-codon, which is responsible for specific mRNA codon recognition, and the 3' end, to which the tRNAs corresponding amino acid is attached (by aminoacyl-tRNA synthetases). tRNAs cope with the degeneracy of the genetic code in two manners: having more than one tRNA (with a specific anti-codon) for a particular amino acid; and 'wobble' base-pairing, i.e. permitting non-standard base-pairing at the 3rd anti-codon position. Lineage: Bacteria; Pseudomonadati; Bacteroidota; Bacteroidia; Bacteroidales; Prevotellaceae. The record is from RNAcentral.